Molecule: ribosomal RNA, 436 nt
Filed under: uncultured bacterium
Lineage: Bacteria
Description: bacterial SSU rRNA
Rfam family: Bacterial small subunit ribosomal RNA
Source: RNAcentral
CGCGAACGGGUGAGUAACACGUGGGUAAUCUGCCCCGAUGACCGGGACAACCCGAGGAAACUCGGGCUAAUACCGGAUGUGGUGCACAGGCGUAAGCCUGUUCACUAAAGGAAGCUUCGGCCUCCGCAUUGGGAGGAGCCCGCGGCCAUUAGCUUGUUGGUGGGGUAACGGCCUACCAAGGCAACGAUGGGUAGCUGGUCUGAGAGGACGAUCAGCCACACUGGGACUGAGACACGGCCCAGACUCCUACGGGAGGCAGCAGUGGGGAAUCUUGCGCAAUGCGCGAAAGCGUGACGCAGCAACGCCGCGUGGGGGAAGACGGCCUUCGGGUUGUAAACCCCUUUCAGGAGGGACGAAGGCUCACCGGUUAAUAGCCGUGUGGGUUGACGGUACCUCCACAAGAAGCUCCCGGCUAACUACGUGCCAGCCGCCGCGG